UAUGGAAUGGUCGUAGAGUCAACACCUAACAAUCUUUCCACUGUCAAAAACACAGAUAAUGGCGAAAAUGCAGCCAAGAGAAUAAAAUUAGAUAUUCACCGAACAGGUGCAAAAUGUCUACCACAUGAUGACAAAGUGGAUGAAAGACAAUCUGGAAGUGCAUAUCACGUACUAGGUGCAGUGAGAACCAAACCAGGACGCGGAGAUCCAACUCUAUCAGCCUCCUGCAGUGAUAAACUAGCCAAGUGGAUCCACAUGGGAGUUCAAGGCAGUUUCUUGAGUUUACUUUUGAAGGAACCCAUUUAUUUGUCGAGUAUUACAAUCGGCCACGAAAAUUUCUCUAAAGAAUCAUUUGAAAGAGCAUUAUACAAACGAUUUGAUGAUAAUCAAGGCAAAUGUGAAACUGAGAAAAAGUAUACACUGCAUAUUCCAGAUUUAUUUCUAUCUACACUGCGGAACUUUGACGCACAAAAAUGUGAAACUAAACAACCGGCUCCCGCCAGUAUAAUAUACAUCAAGAAUAGUAAACCGGAAGUGGCAGUGGAUGGUUUUAAACAAGGUGUCACAAAGAAAAAUCGGUUUACGUCGAGUGGUAGACUGCAAAUUUGCAAGUUGGAACUGUUGAAAUGUUUUUUUAAAGUUGCAACCAAAUUGAAUUUAAAUAUUGAUUCUAAACUAUCCUAUAGUGCCUUAAAACAUUCCACGGAAUAUUCGAAAUCAUGGAGGGAAUUACAAAAAGGUAAAUUCAAAGUGUGGCCACAAAAACUGUCGACUUUUGAAAAUUUUGUAACUGUCGAAUAAAGUUUAUUUUAUUAUUACAA
Long non-coding RNA from Dalotia coriaria, 821 nucleotides. RefSeq lists it as uncharacterized. The record is from RefSeq and is a predicted model, not a curated record. Lineage: Eukaryota; Metazoa; Arthropoda; Insecta; Coleoptera; Staphylinidae. The transcript has 2 exons.